Oncorhynchus keta (chum salmon) is the source of this 4136-nucleotide long non-coding RNA. RefSeq lists it as uncharacterized. The transcript is spliced from 8 exons. Lineage: Eukaryota; Metazoa; Chordata; Actinopteri; Salmoniformes; Salmonidae. The record is from RefSeq and is a predicted model, not a curated record.
AAUGCUAUGCUUUGUAGAUGUGGUCAUGUGGGAAUAAUUCUAUGCUUUGUAGAUGUGGUCACGUGGGAAUAAUGCUAUGCUUUGUAGAUGUGGUCACGUGGGAAUAAUGCUAUGCUUUGUAGAUGUGGUCACGUGGGAAUAAUGCUAUGCUUUGUAGAUAUGGUCACGUGGGAAUAAUGCUAUGCUUUGUAGAUGUGGUCACGUGAAGGUAAUAACAUGUCAUAUUGAUGGGUGGUUGUGGUAGUGAAGGUAAUAACAUGUCAUAUUGAUGGGUGGUUGUGGUAGUGAAGGUAAUAACAUGUCAUAUUGAUGGGUGGUUGUGGUAAUGAAGGUAAUAACAUGUCAUAUUGAUGGGUGGUUGUGGUAAUGAAGGUAAUAACAUGUCAUAUUGAUGGGUGGUUGUGGUAAUGAAGGUAAUAACAUGUCAUAUUGAUGGGUGGUUGUGGUAGUGAAGGUAAUAACAUGUCAUAUUGAUGGGUGGUUGUGGUAGUGAAGGUAAUAACAUGUCAUAUUGAUGGGUGGUUGUGGUAAUGAAGGUAAUAACAUGUCAUAUUGAUGGGUGGUUGUGGUAAUGAAGGUAAUAACAUGUCAUAUUGAUGGGUGGUUGUGGUAAUGAAGGUAAUAACAUGUCAUAUUGAUGGGUGGUUGUGGUAAUGAAGGUAAUAACAUGUCAUAUUGAUGGGUGGUUGUGGUAGUGAAGGUAAUAACAUGUCAUAUUGAUGGGUGGUUGUGGUAAUGAAGGUAAUAACAUGUCAUAUUGAUGGGUGGUUGUGGUAGUGAAGGUAAUAACAUGUCAUAUUGAUGGGUGGUUGUGGUAGUGAAGGUAAUAACAUAUCAUAUUGAUGGCUGGUUGUGGUAGUGAAGGUAAUACCAUGUCAUAUUGAUGGGUGGUUGUGGUAAUGAAGGUAAUAACAUGUCAUAUUGAUGGGUGGUUGUGGUAAUGAAGGUAAUAACAUGUCAUAUUGAUGGGUGGUUGUGGUAAUGAGCUAAUAACAUGUCAUAUUGAUGGAUGGUUGUGGUAAUGAAGGUAAUAACAUGUCAUAUUGAUGGGUGGUUGUGGUAAUGAAGGUAAUAACAUGUCAUAUUGAUGGGUGGUUGUGGUAAUGAAGGUAAUAACAUGUCAUAUUGAUGGGUGGUUGUGGUAGUGAAGGUAAUAACAUGUCAUAUUGAUGGGUGGUUGUGGUAGUGAAGGUAAUAACAUGUCAUAUUGAUGGGUGGUUGUGGUAGUGAAGGUAAUAACAUGUCAUAUUGAUGGGUGGUUGUGGUAAUGAAGGUAAUAACAUGUCAUAUUGAUGGGUGGUUGUGGUAAUGAAGGUAAUAACAUGUCAUAUUGAUGGGUGGUUGUGGUAAUGAAGGUAAUAACAUGUCAUAUUGAUGGGUGGUUGUGGUAGUGAAGGUAAUAACAUGUCAUAUUGAUGGGUGGUUGUGGUAGUGAAGGUAAUAACAUGUCAUAUUGAUGGGUGGUUGUGGUAAUGAAGGUAAUAACAUGUCAUAUUGAUGGGUGGUUGUGGUAGUGAAGGUAAUAACAUGUCAUAUUGAUGGGUGGUUGUGGUAGUGAAGGUAAUAACAUGUCAUAUUGAUGGGUGGUUGUGGUAAUGAAGGUAAUAACAUGUCAUAUUGAUGGGUGGUUGUGGUAGUGAAGGUAAUAACAUGUCAUAUUGAUGGGUGGUUGUGGUAAUGAAGGUAAUAACAUGUCAUAUUGAUGGGUGGUUGUGGUAAUGAAGGUAAUAACAUGUCAUAUUGAUGGGUGGUUGUGGUAGUGAAGGUAAUAACAUGUCAUAUUGAUGGGUGGUUGUGGUAAUGAAGGUAAUAACAUGUCAUAUUGAUGGGUGGUUGUGGUAAUGAAGGUAAUAACAUGUCAUAUUGAUGGGUGGUUGUGGUAAUGAAGGUAAUAACAUGUCAUAUUGAUGGGUGGUUGUGGUAAUGAAGGUAAUAACAUGUCAUAUUGAUGGGUGGUUGUGGUAAUGAAGGUAAUAACAUGUCAUAUUGAUGGGUGGUUGUGGUAAUGAAGGUAAUAACAUGUCAUAUUGAUGGGUGGUUGUGGUAGUGAAGGUAAUAUCAUGUCAUAUUGAUGGGUGGUUGUGGUAAUGAAGGUAAUAACAUGUCAUAUUGAUGGGUGGUUGUGGUAAUGAAAGUAAUAACAUGUCAUAUUGAUGGGUGGUUGUGGUAGUGAAGGUAAUAACAUGUCAUAUUGAUGGGUGGUUGUGGUAGUGAAGGUAAUAACAUGUCAUAUUGAUGGGUGGUUGUGGUAAUGAAGGUAAUAACAUGUCAUAUUGAUGGGUGGUUGUGGUAGUGAAGGUAAUAACAUGUCAUAUUGAUGGGUGGUUGUGGUAAUGAAGGUAAUAACAUGUCAUAUUGAUGGGUGGUUGUGGUAAUGAAGGUAAUAACAUGUCAUAUUGAUGGGUGGUUGUGGUAAUGAGGUAAUAACAUGUCAUAUUGAUGGGUGGUUGUGGUAAUGAAGGUAAUAACAUGUCAUAUUGAUGGGUGGUUGUGGUAAUGAAGGUAAUAACAUGUCAUAUUGAUGGGUGGUUGUGGUAAUGAAGGUAAUAACAUGUCAUAUUGAUGGGUGGUUGUGGUAGUGAAGGUAAUAACAUGUCAUAUUGAUGGGUGGUUGUGGUAGUGAAGGUAAUAACAUGUCAUAUUGAUGGGUGGUUGUGGCAAUGAAGGUAAUAACAUGUCAUAUUGAUGGGUGGUUGUGGUAGUGAAGGUAAUAACAUGUCAUAUUGAUGGGUGGUUGUGGUAAUGAAGGUAAUAACAUGUCAUAUUGAUGGGUGGUUGUGGUAGUGAAGGUAAUAACAUGUCAUAUUGAUGGGUAGUUGUGGUAAUGAAGGUAAUAACAUGUCAUAUUGAUGGGUGGUUGUGGUAAUGAAGGUAAUAACAUGUCAUAUUGAUGGGUGGUUGUGGUAAUGAAGGUAAUAACAUGUCAUAUUGAUGGGUGGUUGUGGUAGUGAAGGUAAUAACAUGUCAUAUUGAUGGGUGGUUGUGGUAGUGAAGGUAAUAACAUGUCAUAUUGAUGGGUGGUUGUGGCAAUGAAGGUAUUUACAUGUCAUAUUGAUGGGUGGUUGUGGUAGUGAAGGUAAUAACAUGUCAUAUUGAUGGGUGGUUGUGGUAAUGAAGGUAAUAACAUGUCAUAUUGAUGGGUGGUUGUGGUAGUGAAGGUAAUAACAUGUCAUAUUGAUGGGUAGUUGUGGUAAUGAAGGUAAUAACAUGUCAUAUUGAUGGGUGGUUGUGGUAAUGAAGGUAAUAACAUGUCAUAUUGAUGGGUGGUUGUGGUAAUGAAGGUAAUAACAUGUCAUAUUGAUGGGUGGUUGUGGUAGUGAAGGUAAUAACAUGUCAUAUUGAUGGGUGGUUGUGGUAGUGAAGGUAAUAACAUGUCAUAUUGAUGGGUGGUUGUGGCAAUGAAGGUAAUAACAUGUCAUAUUGAUGGGUGGUUGUGGUAGUGAAGGUAAUAACAUGUCAUAUUGAUGGGUGGUUGUGGUAGUGAAGGUAAUAACAUGUCAUAUUGAUGGGUGGUUGUGGUAGUGAAGGUAAUAACAUGUCAUAUUGAUGGGUGGUUGUGGCAAUGAAGGUAUUUACAUGUCAUAUUGAUGGGUGGUUGUGGUAGUGAAGGUAAUAACAUGUCAUAUUGAUGGGUGGUUGUGGUAAUGAAGGUAAUAACAUGUCAUAUUGAUGGGUGGUUGUGGUAGUGAAGGUAAUAACAUGUCAUAUUGAUGGGUGGUUGUGGUAAUGAAGGUAAUAACAUGUCAUAUUGAUGGGUGGUUGUGGUAAUGAAGGUAAUAACAUGUCAUAUUGAUGGGUGGUUGUGGUAAUGAAGGUAAUAACAUGUCAUAUUGAUGGGUGGUUGUGGUAGUGAAGGUAAUAACAUGUCAUAUUGAUGGGUGGUUGUGGUAGUGAAGGUAAUAACAUGUCAUAUUGAUGGGUGGUUGUGGCAAUGAAGGUAAUAACAUGUCAUAUUGAUGGGUGGUUGUGGUAGUGAAGGUAAUAACAUGUCAUAUUGAUGGGUAGUUGUGGUAAUGAAGGUAAUAACAUGUCAUAUUGAUGGGUGGUUGUGGUAAUGAAGGUAAUAACAUGUCAUAUUGAUGGGUGGUUGUGGUAAUGAAGGUAAUAACAUGUCAUAUUGAUGGGUGGUUGUGGUA